Long non-coding RNA from Choloepus didactylus (southern two-toed sloth), 2105 nucleotides. RefSeq lists it as uncharacterized. The record is from RefSeq and is a predicted model, not a curated record. The transcript has 5 exons. NCBI's taxonomy places the organism in Eukaryota, Metazoa, Chordata, Mammalia, Pilosa, Megalonychidae.
CCAGGGUCCCCUCUGUCUUUGGCUUCUUCUCUUGGCCUCUUCCUCCCCCCACCCCACCCCCCUCCUUUAGGCAGGGCGAUCACGGACUAACUCGCUUUUUGCUCGGACGAACCUCACCUCUAGCAAAACUCUACCACUUAUCUAUCACUUUAUGACAUCUUUUCCCCUUGCCCCUUACCGCACCCCCGCUUCGCAUCCCAAAUAGCAGCCGCCGCGUCGGAGAGGACCCAGCCCCUCCUCCUCCCCCUUCGACGUAACCCCCUCCCCCAACUGGGCGAAUGAUGCUGCCUCUGGAGCCGCCGCCGCCGGUUCCGAGCCUCCGUCGUCGCCGACCCCAGUGCCCGCGCGCACACCAUUUGUCAACUGCUUUUAGACAUUGCAGCAGCCCCCAGCACACGCCACGGUGCCAGACCCCAAAGCUCUUGCUGCCCUCCUUGGCACUUGCCUCAGCUUUGGUUUGACGACUUGACCUGCUUUGACCGGCUCCUGGUGACCUUGGCAGAAAAUGUCUAUGCCAAACGGUCCGUCACUUACGGAUUUACAGUCCAUCAGCAUCCUUGUGAGCCAACUUGCUAGUCAAAGAAAAUGCAUCUCAAUUUGGGAAGAAUUCACACAGGAAUGUCAUAUACAUGGAACGGCAUACUACAUAACCUUUUGCGACUGCCUUAGUCACCCUAGCACGAUGUUUUGGAGAGUCGCUGUGUUGUUGCUGCACCAGUGGACUGUUCCUUUGGCUCUCGAGCAGGACUCUGUGGUAUGGGGGCUCCAGUUUGCUUGUUGUGAAUGAGGUUUCAGAAGCCUGCCCAGAGAGGGCAAGAGACUGCCUGAUGCUCUCUGCACUCUCCCUGUGGCUUCUACUUCCCCAGAUCCUCCAACAGAGGAACUGAGAGUGUACAAAGAAGGUCAGUAAGAGGAGAAAUGGUCAGAAAGGACAGGGAACAAGAGCAUGACUGCAUCAUGUGCCUCACAGAUGUGCCUGGGCUGACGGGAGCUGUGGUGAAGAAGAGGGUUGUGUGUGAUCAACAGCAGAAGAAGACCUUGACUACUGCAAGCCAGAGAGCUUGCUCCUGGAAGGAUCUUCCCAGAAAGGAGAGGAGCCAGGGCUACAGAGCAGGUACCCACUUCACUGGGCACCAGGAACACAUAACCACUUGAGUCCUGCUGCUUAAAAUUCAGAGUCCUGGGGAGAGCAGGUUAUUCCACCAGAGGAACACAGAGCACUGGGACCAGAGGAAGAUGACAAGACUGGGCUGCCGAGUAAUAAAUGUCGUCUUCCCCAGAGUAAUACAAGCUCCCCUAAACUGCAGUGGAUCUGUCAGCAGGGAUGAUGUAAUUCUGUGUCCAUGUUUUCCCUGGCCUAGAGAACUUGUCUGGAAUAUACUUUAUUAAAUAAUAAUACUAAUAAUACAGUAAAUAAGAAAUGAAAAAAUAGGAAUAAUAAUAAUAAAUACUAUUAUUAUUUGGGUUGAUAUUUUCAGGGCUUUUCUCUGGUUCCCAGAGUGGUUUUCCUUCAGUGUUCCCACACUUAUUUCAUGUUGGUAUUCAGUAUUAGUAUUUUCAUGUUAUGUUUGUAUACACACGUGUACAUUCAUCUGCAUGAGCUCCUUGGUGCUAUCUGCAUUUUUAGGUUGUUUUGACACUGCUUCCUUGGGAAUUGCCUUUGGCAUCUCUGGACUUUGUUCUUAAACAAACAAAUGAAGAGCUGAUCGGAUUUUCUUAUCCCAGAGUCUGAGCACUGGCCUGGGAGCCCCCCAGAUGCUAAAAAGCAUGAUGAAAUCUCUUGAAUAUAGCCUAACCCCUCUCAGCUAAGUUUUCCUGUUUGUGAAAUAAGCGUUCUAGUGUUUUACAUCUAAUUCCGAAAACUGCAAUUUUGUGUAAAAUUUAAGCUGUCUAGAACACAUGGGGGGAAAAUGUUGCUGGAAAUGCCUGUUAUGAUUCAUCGGUAGGACAAGUUGUAUAUAUCCAUUGUACAUUAAUGGUCUCCAAAUAUAUUUUGCUGUGUCUAUGAGUAUUUUAAUUAUGUCGAAUAAUGUUACAGUGAAACUUGUCCCUGAAAUAUAUAUUUGAUCCCCAAUUGAUUGGGUUUGGGGAAAAUAAAUAGACAU